Molecule: long non-coding RNA, 7847 nt
Organism: Syngnathoides biaculeatus (alligator pipefish)
Lineage: Eukaryota; Metazoa; Chordata; Actinopteri; Syngnathiformes; Syngnathidae
Exons: 3
Source: RefSeq, a predicted model, not a curated record
CAUUCAGAAUAAACAAAGAACAAUAGGAACUAUUCCUUAUAAGAGUCACAGUUUCUCAGUCUUCUCCAUUUAGAGCAAUUAGGAAAGCGUCAAUGCCCCACAUUAAUACAUUUUUUUAGGAUGUGGGAGUAAAGCGAAGUAAGUCACUCACAUUUAAAAAAUAGAAAGUUGCGGGUGUGUGCUCUAUUUGUAAUUAUGAGUUUACCCCUUUAAGAGCGGAGGACGGUGUCAGAUAAAAUAGGAAAAAGAAGUCGGCUAAGCAGCAGCUGUUGUUAUAGACCAGUUGUGCUCAAUCCGUCGAUCGCAAGGUAGUCUUGGUCGAUCGCGGGACGACGUGCCAAAAAAAGAAAAAAGAAAAAAAGACGUCAGCCAAUGUUCCCUCUAAACGGUGCACGUGCGCAAUCGUGCACCGCUGAUGCAGUCUCUUCGCAGACAUUCUGCGUUGCGCUCAAAGAAAAAAAAAUCCAAUGCAAAUUGAAAGUAUAUCUUACAGCUAUUUAGUUUGUGGCAUUUCCAAUGUGAUUCAAUGAGUGAGGGAUGACUGGUUCUUACCUCCAAUGGCACAAUUCACAUCUUUCUUUCUUUCUCUUUCAGCAUGUCACGUUAGGGGUCGCCAAAGCAUGUCAUCUUUUUCCAUCCCAACCUAUCUCGUGCAUCCCUCUCUAACACCCACUGUCCUCAUGUCCUCCCUCACAACAUCCAUCAACCUUUUCUUUGGUCUUUCUAGCGCUCUUUUGCCUUGCAGCACCAUCCUGAGCACCCUUCUACCAACAUAGUCACUAUCUCACCUCUGAACAUGUCCGAACCAUCGAAGUCUGCUCUCUCUAACCUUGUCUCCAAAGCAUCCAACUUUGGUUGUCCCUCUAAUGAGCUCAUUUCUAAUCCAAUCCAACAUGUUCACACCAAGCGAGAACCUCAGCAUCUUCAUUUCUGCUACCUCCAGUUCUGCUUCCCGUUGUUUCUUCAGAGCCACUAUCUCAAAUCCGUACAUCAUGUUUGAUAGACUUUGCCCUUCGUCCGUGCGGAUACUUUUCUGUCACAUACAACACCAAACACCUUCCGCCAACUGUUCAAUCCUGCUUGGACCCGUUUCUUCACUUCCUUAGCACACUCAUCAUUGCUCUGUAUUGUUGACCCCAAGUAUUUGAAGUCAUCCACCCUCGCUAUCUCUUCUCCGUGGAGCUUCACUCUUCCUGCUCCGCCCAUCUCAUUCACGCACAUAUUCUGUUUUACUUCAGCUAAUCUUCAUUGCUCUCCUUUCCAGUGCGUACCUCCAUCUUUCUAAUUGUUCAUCCGCCUGUUCCCUGCUUUCACUGCAGAUCACAAUAUCAUCUGCAACCAUCAUGGUCCAAGGGGAUUCCAGUCUAGCCUCAUCUGUCAGCCUAUCCAUUACUACAGCAAACAGGAGGGGGCUCAGCACGGAACCCUGAUGCAGUCCCAACCUCCACCUUAAAUUCUUCUGACACACCAACGGUACGUCUCACCACUGUUAUGCUGCCCUCAUACAUUUCCUGUACGAUUCUAACAUAUUUCUCCUCCACACCAGACUUGCGCAUGCAAGUUCCUCUGUUGGUACUCUGUCUUGGGCUUUUUCUAGGUCUACAAAGAUACAAUGAAGCUCCUUCUGACCUUCUCUGUGUCUGACAUCUUUUUUUAAACGUUUUGGCAACACACAUUACUUAUAACAACAACGUGCUGCAUGGCCAUGAAUGACGGCCACACACUCUUCUUCCUAGUUGACCUUGCUUACCCCUCUUAAAGGGGUACACUCAUAUUUAUUAACGUUACAGUCCUUACACAGCCUAUCAAUGUGUUUUAUAAUGACAGCAUGCUUGUGCACUGCCCACGACCAGAAUUGUUUUUACAUAAAGGUAUGCCUCUGUCAGCAAGCAUUGUUGGCGAGCGCACAUAAGUGGGGACGAAUGAAAAAGAUUAAACCAGCAGACCAGCUGAUUGUGAAAACUUGGAACAUACUUCCCGUCACAUACCACACACUGCGGCAUGGUUUGCACGGAUUUUGCAGAGGCUCGCUAAUUUUCUCAAAAGAUAAGUGCCCACAUGGAAGCAACAACCCCCUGUGAAGCGUCCUUGAAGGGUCAUCCCCACUUUCAGCUUCAGCAGAGAUACCCAGACUUCACUUUCCCCAGCUACUUCCAGCUAUUCCGGAGGGAUCCCGAGGCGUUCCCAGGCCAGCUAAUUGACAGUCUCCAUGCCUGGAACAUCUCACCAGGGAGGCGUCUGGGAGGAAUCCAGAUCUGAUGCCCCAGCCACCUCAUCUGGCUCCUCUCAAUGUGGAGGAGCAGCGACUCGACACUGAGCCCCUCCCGGAUCACCGAGCUUCUCAACCUAUCGCUAAGGGAGAGCCCAGACACCCUGCAGGGGAAACCGAUGUCGGCCAAUUGUAUCCGGGAUCUUGUUCUUUUGGUCACGACACAUCUUGUGUCCAUAGAUGACGGUAGGGACGUAGAUCGACUGGUAAAUCGAGAGCUUCACCAUUUGACUUAGCUCACUCUUUAGCACAACGGACCAAUACAACGUCCACAUCACUGCAGACCCUGUACUGAUCCGCCUGUCGAUCUCCCACUCCAUUUUUCCCUUACCUGUGAACAAGGCUUGAGAUACUAGAUAUCGAUAUUCGAGUGAACUUCCAAUGCCUUGAAACCUCUUGAUUCAUAGUCAAUAGUAUCCUGACAACACGUGCACAAUGCUUUACCAGGCCGAUAAAUUUUGUGAAUGAAGUCGCUUAGAGUGGUAACUUCCUUCUUUCCAACAAUAUCAACGAUUUCUAAUUCCACCAAUCCCAUAGGAACUUAUUUAUGACAUAUCUAUCAAUUUUUUUCACUUGAGAGGCGUAUUUCCUCCUGAGCACCGUCAUUGUGUUCACUUGAAAAUGGUCCCAUGAUCUGCUUCGUAUACUACAAGCAUUUUCAUUGGCCAGGACGAGCACAUUCGACGAAUUAACAGACGUGUAUCUAAUCUUCCACCUCGCUUGCAAAAGUCGGACCGGAAUAGAAACGAGUGUAGAUUCUGGCACGGGUUACGGUCGGAAUGUUGCAGAAAAACAGAGAAUAUUUUUUCUUUAUCAAUGCAAUUUAAAAAGACAGACAUCUGCCUAUUAAUGGAAAAAUCACAUCUGAAACUAACAUAUUUUGCAAAUAUCUUGAGUCUAUGAGUUUAGACCUGGGGUCGGUAACCCACAACUACGGAGUCAGAAGUGACCCUUUCAUCCUUAUGUUGCUGCUCUGCGUGGCUUGGGAAACAAAAUUACAACCGUCCAAUUGAAGUGUAUAUUAUUUGUCUCCAAAACGUGAUUAAGUCAUCUUAUUAAGUCAAAAAUGUUUAAUUCUUUCUUCAAAUAUUCUGCGAUUUCAGUGAUUCUUUGGAGACGUUUGAUAGCACUUGACGUGUCAGCAGGGAGAUUAGACAGCCGGCAUGUCCGGAAAGCCCAGUGACACCAAAACUGCACUAUAUCUGAACAAAGAUUUUGUUUGUUUAAUUGUAGUUGUAAAUUGAAAGAUUCUUUUUCUUUUGGCUUGUCCCAUUAGGGGUCGCCACAGCAUGUCAUCUUUUUCCAUCUAAGCCUAUCUUGUGCAUCCUCCUCUCAAACACCCACUGUCCUCAUGGCCUCCCUCACAACAUCCAUCAACCUUUUCUUUGGUCUCCUCUCGCUUUUUUGCCUGGCAGCUCUAUCCUCAGCAUCCUUCCACCAAUAUACUCACUCUCUUGCCGCUGAACAUGUCCAAACCAUCAAAGUCUGCUCUCUUGAAUCUUGUCUCCAAAACAUCCAACUUUGGCUGUCCCUCUAAUGAGCUCAUUUCUAAUCCUAUCCAACAUGUUCACACCAAGCAAGAACCUCAGCAUCUUCAUUUCUGCUACCUCCAGUUCUGCUUUCUGUUGUUUUUUCGGAGACACCAUCUCAAAUCCGUACAUCAUGGCCAUCAUCACCACUGUAUGAUAGACUUUGCCCUUCGUCCAAGCAGAUACUUUUCUGUCACAUAGAAUACCAAACACCUUCCGCCAACUGUUCAAUCCUGCUUGGACCCGUUUCUUCACUUCCUUAGCACACUGACCAUUGCUCUGUAUUGUUGACCCCAAGUGUUUGAAGUCGUCGACCCUCGCUAUCUCUUCUCCCUGAAUAUUCACUCUUCCUCCUCUGCUUCUCUCAUAUAUUUUGUUUUACUUCAGCUAAUCUUCAUUCCUCUCCUUUCCAGUGCUUACCUCCAUUUUUCUAAUUGUUCCUUCGCCUGUUCCAUGCUUUCACUGCAUAUCACAAUAUCAUCUGCGAACAUCUUGGUCCAAAGGGAUUCCAGUCUAACCUCAUCUGUCAGCCUAUCCAUGACUACCGCAAACAGGAAGGGGGUCAGCGUAGAACCGUGAUGCAGUCUCACCUCCACCUUAAAUUUUUCUGACACACCUAUAGCACAUCUCAUCGCUGUUCUGCUCGCCUCAUACAUGUCCUGAACUACUCUAACAUAUUUCUCCGCCACACCAGACUUGCCCAUGCAGUAGCACAGUUCAUCUCUCGGUACUCUGUCAUAGGCUUUCUCUCGGUCUACAAAGAUACAAUGUAGCUCCUUCUUACCUUCUCUGUACUUAUCCAUGAGCAUCCUCAAGGCAAACAAUCCAUCUGUGGUACUCUUUUUUGGCAUGAAACCACACUGUUGCUCACAGAUACUUACUUCCAUCCUGAGUCUGGCUUCCACUACUCUUUCCCAUAACUUCAUUGUGUGGCUCAUCAUCUUUAUUCCGCUGUACUUACCACAGUUCUGAACAUCGCCUUUGUUCUUAAAAACGGGGACCAGCACACUUUUCCUCCAUUCUUCUGGCAUCUUCCCUCCCACUAGUAUUGUAUUGAAUAAGUUGGUCAAAAACUCCACUGCCACCUAAGCAAAUUGCUUCCGUACCUCCACUGGUACUGUAUGUCAUCGGGACCAACUGUCUUUCCAUUUUUCAUUCUGUUCAGUGCCUUUUAAACAUCCCCUUUACUCAUCAUUGCCACUUCCUGGUCAUUCAUGCUUGCUUUUUCUACUCUACCUUCUCUCCCAUUUUCUUCAUUCAUUAACUCCUCAAAGUACUCUUUCCAUCUACUUUGCACACUACUGGUACCAGUCAACAUAUUUCCAUCACUAUCCUGAAUCAUCAUUACUUGCUGCACAUCCUUCCCAUCUCUAUCCCUCUGUCUGGCCAACCUAUAGAUAUCCUUUUCUCCUUCUUUUGUUCGCUGUUCAGGUUCUGGAGCAGAAGUCCCAUUAACCAGGUAUAAUAAAUAUUCCGGCGGUUUUUUGCAAAUAUUUAUUUUCAUUGUUCAGUGAAAUAGUGCUAUUUUUUUCAUUGUAUUGUAAUGCCCUACUCCCCGCUGUGUGCCCCACGCAAGCCCUCCUCAUGGACCUCAUCCCUCCCGUGGAUUGAGGAGGGUCACAACUUCCUCACCAGCUCCACCACCGUUACAUCCCCAUUCAUGGCUUGCUGUGGUUUACAAACCCCAUGAUUCGAAAAUAAAAGGAGUAGGCGGUGGCAAUUCCCACUGGACAGGAUCACAUUCAGUGAGUCCACGCAGUGUGGAAGAACAUGCGGGCAGAGUUGACUUGGUCCACGGCUCGCAACAAGUAGUUCAUGGAGUGUCAUCUCUCUCUGACGCGGGAAUCCAAGGUGGGUCAAAUUGUGGCUUUCUUCCCACUACCUACCAUUUCAAACAAGGACCCGUAAGAACACUCCACCUGUCAUUGGUCCGUUCCCCAUUACCAAAACUAUCAAUCACACAUCUGUCCAAUUGAAACAUCGGCAGAAAAAUUCACCCAAAAUUACACAUCUGCUUAAGCCUGUUCCUACCUGCGCUGUGUUCUCGUUUUUUUUUGAUCCACAGCAUUCCUACCAUCAAGCCAGCAACCAAACCUCACAACUGCAUGCCAUCCUUGCCAUUACCUGCCAACCCACCUAAACCCAGCUUUCCUUUGUAAACUGCCUCUGCCUGCUCUCGGGUCUAGUGCCUCUUCAUUCAUGACACCCUAUUUGUUGUAUCGCGGCAAUUCAGUGAUGCUGGGAACACGUUACAAAGUAGAAACAUAAAUGUAAAGUUACAAUGUAAAGAGUUACUCAAAAAAUGUGUUCUUGUGACAUCAUUAGGGAUCUAACCUGUUCAUUUUUGCAUUUGAGUAGUGAAAUUAGUUACUUUGAUUUAGCUGCCGACAAUGUUCCCUCUAAGCUGCGCAACUGCACAUUUGUGCACUUGUCGCACACUCUCAGCGCAGAUGAAAACAGAUCCAGCGCAGUGAACUAGUGACUUUUUUUUUUUUUUUUUUAAACACGGCAGCACACUCCCACCCACAACGAGCUGCUGUUCGACCACACUAGGCCACAAACUCUACUUACUAGUUUCGGUGACACUGCCCCCUCCACACUUAAAUGGGUACACUCAUAUUGAAAAAAACACCGGCCACCAUCACUACUUUAGUUAGAAACAGCCUGGGCAACGCAGAGCAAAGAGAGUUAGACAUGCUGCUUAGGUUUACUCGAUAAUAAUGGUAAAAGUAAGUGCUGUUGCUUUAAUGAACGUUGGGGUAUCUGAAUAAUUGAAGAAAAAGUGGUGAAACUGGACAAGAUUUUCUCUUUUUUGAGUAAAAAGGUUUGGUCUGAAGCCAAAGUAGAAAGUGCAGGAUGAGAUGGUGUAGAAUGUGAAAAUUCCACCUUGGCACAGUCUGAUCAAGGAUGAAAGCAUAAACAAUACAGUACACAAAAAAGCUAAUUCUGUAUUUUAAAUACAGGAGGCAACAUAACAUUAACCCUAAAAACUGUUUGGGAGCAUCAAUACCCUUUCAACAUGCAAUGCUAAAGAGAUUCUGCAAGCAAUAAUUCAGUUUUACACAAAGAAAAACAGACGGGGAUAUCAAUUGUGAGUUAAAAAAAAGGAAACCAAGUUGGAAGUGACCUUUCACAUUUAUAGUUCAUAGUUGGCUUGGUUCAGUGAGCAAUGUAUUUUUUCGUUUGUUGACAUUUUCAGUGUCUGUGUACAAAAGAACAAUAUUGUUUUUUAAAAAAUAUUCUGAAGGGUAUGUAAUGUGAACCUUUUAAUGAGCCAUGUAACUUCAAUGGAUGACACUGAUUAACCACAGUGCAAAGGUCUGAUGUUGCUCACUGGUCAAAGGGGGCUGAUUCCUCACCUUUCUAAAGAAUCAUUGAGACCCAGCGAGGUGAUAUCUUGCAUGGGUCUCCACUCCGAUUGAGAUUGACUCUCAUGUAUAGCUUCUUCAAUUUUCUAAUGAUUGCUCCAACAGUGGACCUUUUUUCACCAAGCUGCUUGGCACUUUCUCCGUAGCCCUUUCCAGCCGUGUGGAGUUGUGCAAUUUUGUCUCUGGUGUCUUUGGAUAGCUCUUUGAUCUUGGCCAUGUUACUUGGCCAAGUUUGUGUCUUACUGAUUGUAUGGGGUGGACAGGUGUCUUUAUGCAGCCAACGACCUCACACAGGUCCAUCUGGUUCAGGAUAAUACGUACAUGGAGUGGCGGUGGACUUUUAAAGGUGGACUGACAGGUCUUUGAGGGUCAGAAUUAUAGCUGAUAGACAGGUGUUUAAAUACCUAGUGUCAGCUGUAUCACACAAAUAUAUCGCAAAUUAAAAAAAAAUAAAAAUAAAAAAAAAAAAAAAUCACCCAUUGUGAUUUCUGGAUUUUUCUUUAGAUUAUCUCUCUCAGUGGGCAUGCACCUAUGAUGAAAAUUUCAGACCCCUCAAUGAUCUCUAAGUGGGAGAGGUUGCAAUAUAGCAGGGUGUUAAAAUACUUGUAUAUAUAUACACACACACAUAUAUAUAUAUAUAUAUAUACAUAGACACACACACGCACGCGCACACACACACAC